GGAGAGUUGGCAGAGCGGUAAUGCAGCGGAUUGCUAAUCCGUAGUCGGCGAUAGUCGGCUCCCGAGUUCAAAUCUCGGACUCUCCGCAA
Molecule: transfer RNA, 89 nt
Filed under: Fidelibacterota bacterium
Lineage: Bacteria; Pseudomonadati; Fidelibacterota
Description: tRNA-Ser
Rfam family: tRNA
About the family: Transfer RNA (tRNA) molecules are approximately 80 nucleotides in length. Their secondary structure includes four short double-helical elements and three loops (D, anti-codon, and T loops). Further hydrogen bonds mediate the characteristic L-shaped molecular structure. tRNAs have two regions of fundamental functional importance: the anti-codon, which is responsible for specific mRNA codon recognition, and the 3' end, to which the tRNAs corresponding amino acid is attached (by aminoacyl-tRNA synthetases). tRNAs cope with the degeneracy of the genetic code in two manners: having more than one tRNA (with a specific anti-codon) for a particular amino acid; and 'wobble' base-pairing, i.e. permitting non-standard base-pairing at the 3rd anti-codon position.
Source: RNAcentral